GACGAACGCUGGCGGCGUGCUUAACACAUGCAAGUCGAACGGUAAGGCCCUUCGGGUACGACGAGUGGCGAACGGGUGGAGUAACACGUGGGUGGAUCUGCCCUGCACUUCGGGAUAAGCCUGGGAAACUGGGUCUAAUACCGGAUAGGACUCCUGGCUUCAUGGUUGGGGGUGGUAAAGCUUUUGCGGUGUGGGAUGGCCCGCGGCCUAUCAGCUUGUUGGUGGGGUAAUGGCCUACCAAGGCGACGACGGGUAGCCGGCCUGAGAGGGUGACCGGCCACACUGGGACUGAGAUACGGCCCAGACUCCUACGGGAGGCAGCAGUGGGGAAUAUUGCACAAUGGGCGCAAGCCUGAUGCAGCGACGCCGCGUGAGGGAUGAUGGCCUUCGGGUUGU
Molecule: ribosomal RNA, 396 nt
Filed under: uncultured bacterium
Lineage: Bacteria
Description: bacterial SSU rRNA
Rfam family: Bacterial small subunit ribosomal RNA
Source: RNAcentral